Long non-coding RNA from Salarias fasciatus (jewelled blenny), 381 nucleotides. RefSeq lists it as uncharacterized. NCBI's taxonomy places the organism in Eukaryota, Metazoa, Chordata, Actinopteri, Blenniiformes, Blenniidae. The record is from RefSeq and is a predicted model, not a curated record. The transcript has 3 exons.
AGAGAGAGAGAGAGUCAGAGCAGGAAAAGGUAUUUGUGGAGAAAACACCUUAUUUGGACUUUUCUGAGGUGAUCCAACGGUGCGUUGCCAAAAUGAGAUGUUGGAGCGUAAAUGUGAGACGAGAAACAGCUUACAUGAGGAGUGCAUUGCCAGAGGCAUUUUAAUGAUGCAGACUAGAGGGACUCGAAACAAGAACAACAGACAAGUGUUCCUGUGCGCUCCAGACACCAGCUGAAUUAUUACUGUAUACAGAAUCCGGCAUCUCUUUGGAGAAUCACAUAAAUCUAGUUUAAAAAAAAAAAAAAAAAAAAAGGAGACUGGUAUCCAGGUGUCACAGUGGCCUCGGAGAUAGAAUUGAGUUCAACGUGAGUUCACAGAAGC